AGAUACCGGAAGGUAUGCUUGGAUA
This 25-nucleotide ribosomal RNA is filed under the name Ischnocnema venancioi. RNAcentral's name for it is "partial 12S ribosomal RNA". The record is from RNAcentral. Lineage: Eukaryota; Metazoa; Chordata; Amphibia; Anura; Brachycephalidae.